This 497-nucleotide ribosomal RNA is filed under the name uncultured bacterium. RNAcentral's name for it is "partial 16S ribosomal RNA". It matches the Rfam family "Bacterial small subunit ribosomal RNA", at positions 28 to 507 of the family's 1533-position model. The record is from RNAcentral.
GAUGAACGCUGGCGGCGUGCCUAAUACAUGCAAGUCGAGCGAACGGACGAGAAGCUUGCUUCUCUGAUGUUAGCGGCGAACGGGUGAGUAACACGUGGAUAACCUACCUAUAAGACUGGGAUAACUUCGGGAAGCCGGAGCUAAUACCGGAUAAUAUUUUGAACCGCAUGGUUCAAAAGUGAAAGACGGUCUUGCUGUCACUUAUAGAUGGAUCCGCGCUGCAUUAGCUAGUUGGUAAGGUAACGGCUUACCAAGGCAACGAUGCAUAGCCGACCUGAGAGGGUGAUCGGCCACACUGGAACUGAGACACGGUCCAGACUCCUACGGGAGGCAGCAGUAGGGAAUCUUCCGCAAUGGGCGAAAGCCUGACGGAGCAACGCCGCGUGAGUGAUGAAGGUCUUCGGAUCGUAAAACUCUGUUAUUAGGGAAGAACAUAUGUGUAAGUAACUGUGCACAUCUUGACGGUACCUAAUCAGAAAGCCACGGCUAACUAUGUG